UGCAAGUCGAACGAGAAACUGGUUUUUAAUCAGUGGACAGUGGCGAACGGGUGAGUAACACGUGAGAAACCUGCCCCGGAGACUGGGACAACCGUUGGAAACGACGGCUAAUACCAGAUACCCCCGAUUGGUCGCAUGGCCGAUCGAGGAAAUGCUCUGGCGCUUCGGGAGGGUCUCGCGGCCUAUCAGCUAGUUGGUGGGGUAACGGCCCACCAAGGCAACGACGGGUAGCUGGUCUGAGAGGACGAUCAGCCACACUGGGACUGAGACACGGCCCAGACUCCUACGGGAGGCAGCAGUGGGGAAUAUUGCGCAAUGGGCGAAAGCCUGACGCAGCAACGCCGCGUGAGGGAAGACGGCUCUCGGGUUGUAAACCUCUUUCAGUGAUGACGAAAAUGACGGUAAUCACAGAAGAAGCUCCGGCCAACUACGUGCCAGCAGCCGCGGUAAUACGUAGGGAGCAAGCGUUGUCCGGAUUCAUUGGGCGUAAAGAGCUCGUAGGCGGUUGUGUAAGUCAGAUGUGAAAACUCAGGGCUCAACCCGGAGACGCCAUCUGAUACUGCACUGACUGGAGUCCGGUAGGGGAGCAUGGAAUUCCUGGUGUAGCGGUGGAAUGCGCAGACAUCAGGAGGAACACCAGUGGCGAAGGCGGUGCUCUGGGCCGGAACUGACGCUGAGGAGCGAAAGCGUGGGGAGCGAACAGGAUUAGAUACCCUGGUAGUCCACGCCGUAAACGUUGGGCACUAGGUGUGGGGUCCCUCUAACGGGGAUUCCGUACCGUAGCUAACGCAUUAAGUG
This 798-nucleotide ribosomal RNA is filed under the name uncultured bacterium. Its description in RNAcentral is "bacterial SSU rRNA". It matches the Rfam family "Bacterial small subunit ribosomal RNA", at positions 56 to 866 of the family's 1533-position model. The record is from RNAcentral.